UAAUGAAACUGAAACGCCUGGUUUUAGACCACAAUAAUUCAUUAGUAUGGUGUAGGGCCUCCUUUUGCGGCCAAUACAGCAUCAAUUCGUCUUGGGAAUGACCGAUACAAGUCCUGCACAGUGGCCAGAGGGAUUGUGAGCCAUUCUUUUUGCAGAAUAGGGGCCAGGUCACUACGUGAUGCUGGUGGAGGAAAACGUUUCCUGACUCGCUCCUCCAAAACACCCCAAAGUGGCUCAAUAAUAUUUAGAUCUGGUGACUGUACAGGCCAUGGGAGAUGUUCAACUUCACUUUCAUGUUCAUCAAACCACUCUGUCACCAGUCUUGCUGUGUGUAUUGGUGCAUUAUCAUCCUGAUACAUGGCACCACCUUCAGGAUACAAUGUUUGAACCAUUGGGUGCACAUGGUCCUCCAGAAUGGUUUGGUAGUCCUUGGCAGUGACGCGCCCAUCUAGCACAAGUACUGGGCCUAGGGAAAGCCAUGAUAUUGCAGCCCAAACCAUCACUGAUCCACCCCCAUGCUUCACUCUGGGCAUGCAACAGUCUGGGUGGUACGCUUCUUUGGGGCUUCUCCACACCGUAACUCUCCCGGAUGUGGGAAAGACAGUGAAGGUGGACUCAUCAGAGAACAAUACAUGUUUCACAUUGUCCACAGCCCAAGAUUUUCACUGCUGGCACCAUUGAAACCGACGUUUGGCAUUGGCACGAGUGACCAAAGGUUUGGCUAUAGCAGCCCGGCCAUGUACAUUGACCCUCCCGACAGACAGUUUUGGUGGAAACAGGAGAGUUGAGGUGCACAUUUAAUUCUGCAGUAAGUUGGGCAGCUGUGGUUUUAUGUUUUUUGUGUACAAUCCGGGUUAGCACCCGGACAUCCCUUCCAGACAGCUUCCUCUUGCGUCCACAGUUACUCCUGUUGGAUGUGGUUCGUCCUUCUUGGUGGUAUGCUGACAUUACCCUGGAUACGUGGCUCUUGAUACAUCACAAAGACUUGCUGUCUUAGUCGAAGAUGCGCCAGCGAGACGUGCACCAACAAUUUGUCCUCUUUUGAACUCUGAUACAUCACCCAUAAUGUUGUGUGCAUUGCAAUAUUUUAAGCAAAACUGUGCUAUUACUCUGCUAAUUAAACCUUCACACUCUGCUCUUACUGGUGGAAUGUGCAAUCAGUUAAGAUUGGCCACCAGGCUGGUCAAAUUUAGCCAUGAAUCCUCCAACACUAAAUUGGCCAGUGUUUCAGUUUCAUUGUCCAACCCCUGUAUAUACUACUCACAAAAAGUUAAGUAUAUUCGGCUUUCGGGUGAAAUUUCAGGAUGCACCUAAAAUGCACUAUAACCUUUACAGGUGAACUUAAUUUGACCUUCUCUACACUUUUGCACAUGUGCAACUGUUCAGUGUUUCAGUACUUUUUGCAUAACUUGCUGUUCUCUAACAAGGUGCUUAAUGGCAAAAUUCACAACUGGUGUUUGAGCCAUGAAUCGACCAAUACAUUUUCUGGUUCAAUUAGAGUUGGUAUUUAAACAGUCCUCUUCAUCAUGCUGUUCACAUUUUGACAUCAUGAGACACAUAACAAUUGAUCAACAGUACCUCACCAUUGCGAGGCUUCAAACAGGAUGUUCCACUGAGCUUAGAGUGUCACAGAGUAUCAUCAGCAGGUUGCGACAGAGAUACAGAGAGACUGGAAGAGUCACAGAAAGGCAUAGAAGUGGACGUCCUUUGUACUCUCAUCCCAUGUUGAUGACCGCUUCAUUGUGAACAGUGCCCUGCGGAACCGGAUGAUGAAUGCCACUCAACUCCAUUUAAGGGAGGUGAGAGGCAGACCAUUCAAAACCAUUUACAUCAGCGUGGUCUGCGUGAUAGACGACCUGCAAGGGUACCUGACCACACUACCAGGCACAGGCGUCAUCGUCUUGCAUGGGCCAGGAGCAUUUACGCUGGACGAGGGACGAGUGGGCCUCAGUGCUGUUCUCUGAUGAAAGUCAAUUCACGUUGAGCAGUAGUAAUGGCCGCCAACGAUGUUGGAGACGCCAAGGAGAGCGCUAUGCAUCAGCCACUGUUGUGGUGGUGUUACAGUCUGGGGAGGUGUAUCUACUCAAUACAGAACUGCCCUACAUCUUGUGAAUGGUACAGUGACAAGCCAAUACUACCUGAAUAACAUAAUUAAUCCAGUCAUUGUGCCCCUGUAUGAACAACACAGGCCUAAUUACAUCUUCAUGGAUGACAAUGCUCCAGCUCAUUGAGGUCGCAUCAUUAGGGAACGGCUGCUGGAGGCUGGGGUACCUCAAAUGGAGUGGCCUGCACUUUCUCCAGACCUGAAUCCCAUAGAAAACCUAUGAGAUCAGCUGAGUUGCCAUGUAGAGGCUCGUAACCCUGCACCCCAGAAUCUCAAUGACCUGAGGGCCGACCCUUCAAGAAGAGUGGAAUGUCAUGCCUCAGCAUGAGACGUCGUUGUCAAGCUGUAAUUGAUGGUCAAGGGCACAUGACAAAUUAUUGAGACAUUGACAUUUUUUGUUGUGGUAUACCCACCACUGUUGUUGGCUUUUGCUUCAAUAACUUGUUUGAGAUGAGGAAAUCACCAUUGCAUGCUUCUAUUUAAAUGCCCUACUUUCAUGAUAUAAUAUCACUGUAGUGUGAACUUUUUUUCCAUAAAUUUCACCCAAAAGCCAAAUAUCCGUAACUUUUUGUGAGUGUAUUUAUAUAUUUAUAUACCACUGAAACACCAUGGCACUAAUGAUUUUAAAUAAAAAAAAAGUGUAGUAAUCUAGUAAUAUAAAAAAGCAUCAGAAUAAAGACAGUACUGUUCUCUACCUUGCACAAUGUGUAAUUUCAACAUGAGAAUGAAUUAUUUUUCUAUUUUACUGCAUUUUCUGCUGAAGUUCGCAUUACCGCAACGCAUCUGGCUGUGUCUGAAUGUGUGUUAUGAUUUAAUUUAAACAAAUUAACAUAAAAAAAUUUAGAAAAAAAAUAAAUGGAUGUUCUACUAGAUUAUUCUAGAUGACAGAAUUUUUUUACUGAAUAUUCAUGUAUAAUAAUAAUGAAAAAAAGUAGGAAAAUGAUGUGUCCAUGCCUGAUGUUCUCAUCCUCCACAACACUUUUUGAGGACUGUUUAAACACACAUACAGAAUGUAAAUAAAGUUUGAUUAUGAGUGAUGGAGCACAUGGGACAGUUACUUCAAGAUGGUGAGCAGCAAAACAUCCUGAGGCACCUCAUCCUCCGCAACACCAUUCUCAUACACCGCAACCAUUUAAGGCCAGUUGUGACAAUCAGCAAGUGUGAAAAAAAAAGCUUUAGCAAAGGUCAGGGUGACAAAGUUCAGGGAAAAAUUCUACAGAAACCCAGAACUGCUGGAGGAGUACAGAAGAGGGAGAGAGAGGUUAGGUUUGGAGAUGUUACAGCAGGUAUAAUUAGCAAUAAACACCUAAUUAUAGUGUUAGGAAAUGUACAUGAGAGUAUACACACACACACACACAACCCUUUAGCCACUACUAUAACAGGACUUUGGUGCUGGACUGAGUGUACUGUUCAUACUGUGGGAAAUUCCCGCCACACUAAGGCAUGUAGGUCGUGUGAUUCUUAAUGUGACAGCAGCCUAAUAAAUUUGCUGCACAAUUUUGUUAUAAUUUAGUAAUUUAAUUACAUAAUAAAUAAACAGUUAUUUGUUCUUCUGUUAGUAAUUUGUUUUUUUAUUUUCUUGUUUACUUUACUUUUCAAUUCAUUUCAAAGACUAAAAUUAAGCUCUACCCCACCCCACAACUUCAGGCCCAGUAUAGAACACACACACACACACACACACACACAUAGAGUAAGCAUCAAGUCUAUACUAUAUGAUGAUGUUUACAUAAAAUGUUUUUCCCCCAUGUGAGAGACUAAUUUAAUGUAAUGCUUUCUUUCCGCUUCCAGGAAUCAAAAACAAACUGGCAAAAUAAAGAAAACUGAAGAGCUGACUAAGAAGCAACAUGAAAAGAAAAAAAGACAGUGGUCAGUUAUUUUUUAGUGCCAUGGUAAAAUGUUUUUAGGUAACCGUUAAAAUGUUGUCCUGUUUAUUCCUGUUUUAAUGUUUUUCAUAAUUGUUUUCUUUUGUAGUUUUGAACUUGAAUGCAUGAUUGUGUAAAUAUUAUCUGUUUCUUUCUGCAUUAUCUCAGACUAGUAUACAAGUCUCAGUACAAAUCUCAGACUAGUAUAGUUAUUAUCAUUACCGAAAUAAUUAACCUCAUUACUGAAACCUAUAUAUCAUUAUCGAAACUCAUGUUUAUUAGAUGUUAAUUUAAUUAAUAGAAAUAUAGUACUUUGAUUUUAAAUGCAUGUGCAGAAUCUUAACAUUAUGUUCUCUCAGGUUUGUCAUCAUUUUGAAAAAAUGUCAGGUUUCUUCGAAAUAUUUUUAAAAAAUAGUUGUAAAUUGUGGACGGUGUUGCAGUAAUGAGAGAAAUCAGUCAAAAUUUGAAAAACUGUUCAAUUAAAAAUAAAUAUUAUUUCAGAACUUGAAGUAACUGCAUGACUAUUAAUAAUCCAUUUUUAAAACUGUGAAAAUGUAUUUGCUUUUCUGUCAGUGUUGAUGUUUUCACAGUGUUGCGGUAUAACUUUCAUUUUCAGAGUCUUACACAGCUGCUUAGAGGAACCCAUGGUUGUUGAGUGUCCGCAAGUGUGUGCACAAGGUUUGAAGAGUCAAAGUAUUUGUAAAGCUUUGAAAUUGGCAUUUACUAAUGACAGCUGUUGCCAUGCAUCAGAUCUAACGAGCUGAUUAAGGUCUGAAACCUUUGUAAAAAGAAUCUGAGACUCUGGAACUCUUAGAGUGCCCAAACUUUUGCACAGUGCCAUAAUAAUGUUUUUAUUUUUGUUCAAUUUAUGGCAUAAGAAGUAACUAUGCAUCAAUGUUUGCUGAAAAUAUUGUGCAUUUUUUCCAUUUCCAAGAGAGACUGUGUUAACAUCUUUUCAAUUAAAAAAUCACCAAAAUCUGUUAUUUAUCAAGGGGUGCCUAAACUUUUGCAUAAGACUGUAUAUAUAUUUAUUUAUUACAUUUUUCACAUUAUUAAUACAAAGAAAAUUAAAUUUCAGAUUGAAUGCAUGUAUGCUAUUUGAGGAACUUGACCACAUGGGAGAUCUGAGGCCAUUUUCGGAUUAAAUUUACCACCCUAUCACAUGUUUUAUUGUGGUAAUGGAUGUGAUUGGGUGGUUCUGCUUCCCAUUUGAAUGUGUGAAACCAAGAAUUGUAAGAGAGGCUAAUCAAUUUUUAAACAGUAUUUUCGGUUAACUUAACCCUGUUUGGUUCAUUCACUCACUCACUAUAUCACUCAUACACAUAUUACUCACUUUCUCUUUCACUCACUCACUUACUCACUCACUCACUUACUACAUGUUUUUAAUGAAUAAUGUUACAUUUUAUAACACAGUUGCAGAUAGAUCUGUCUCCAUCAUGGCUGCUGUGAGACAAUGGUGAUACUGUGCACAGUGGGAUGCUGAUCCUGAGAGGAGGCAAAAAUAUCUAGAGAGUGAGCAUCAGAGAUGGAAACAGGAUGUAGAGCAAAGAAAAAAAAGAAGAUCAGUGAUCUAAGUGAGUGAGGGAAGUGUCAGCUGCGUAAAAAGUGGAGGAAGCAGAGGCUAGAAAGCACACUCCAGACUCCUGAUCCUGUCCAGCAGUCAAAAAACGAAAAGAAAAAAACAGCGGACAAGCUGGUGACCAACGGCUGUGACAUACCUGAUGCCCAUGAGCUAUAUAAGGCCCUCGCAGAAACAUCUGCAACCAUUAAGUAGUUUUAUGUAGCAUCUGAAGCAGGGGAGAGUGGCAAUGGAAAGGAUGCCAGGCCAGAUUCCACCAGUGUCAUCCACAAUGAAAACCCGUUCCACAAUCCACUAUCCACAAUGAAAGGAGAAAUCCUUUCCCGGGAAGUUAGUUGCAUGUGAACCAUUCAAAAGCAGCUGAGAUGUCAGUGCUUUAACACACAGCAUUUCAACUUUUAACAAGACAGCCCAAAAGCUGCCAAAAGAAGCAAGUGAUUGGAAAAGUGGAAAUCUAAUUGGAAAGUGGUGUGUGAUUAAAUAUGACAAUGAACUUUAUCUUGGGUACAUGGAUCAUGGAUACAGAUGAAACACAUGACCUUGUAAAAUGUAUGCACCAAGUUGGGGCCAACAGGUUCUUCUGGCCUCCAAGAGAUGACUUCCAGUGGUAUCUCUUUGAUGAUGUGCUCAAGCACCACAGCCUGUGACAUCCUGCCACAUGCAAAUCCAGAAGGAUGUGUGUAUGCGUCACUGUCACUGUUAUGAUGCUUAUUUCAGUUUUUCAGAGCAUGAGCAAGUUUCCCAUUACAUCUACUAUUUUAAUGUUUCCUCCAGUUUUUGUGUUUGGGAAUGUUUCUCCCAGUUUUUAAAGUUUAAACCAGCAGUUCAUAUAGAGAAACACUUUGUCCAUACCAUUCAUGACAGGGUCAUUUUGUUAAAUGUUGCACAAAUUAAUGUUGAACAAUG
Hemibagrus wyckioides is the source of this 6451-nucleotide long non-coding RNA. RefSeq lists it as uncharacterized. The record is from RefSeq and is a predicted model, not a curated record. The transcript has 3 exons. NCBI's taxonomy places the organism in Eukaryota, Metazoa, Chordata, Actinopteri, Siluriformes, Bagridae.